AUCUAUGGCCAUACCACCCAGACCCCGGAAGGUAAGCAGGGUCGAAACCUGGUCAGUAUUUGGAUGGGAGACCACCUGGGAAUAUAGGAUGUUGUGGGUU
Molecule: ribosomal RNA, 100 nt
Organism: Rhinopithecus bieti (black snub-nosed monkey)
Lineage: Eukaryota; Metazoa; Chordata; Mammalia; Primates; Cercopithecidae
Source: Ensembl